GUGAGAGGGACUCUGGUGGGCACAGGAUGUGAGGGUCUCGAAUCCACUUACAUGGAGGAAGGGGAGGGAUCCAGAGCCUUGGGGAAGAGCUGCCUGGGCAGGAAUUCCUGGGUUAUGGGGCAUCUCUUCUCCCACCUUCAAUUCACCUCUCCAUUCCAAAGACAACAGAAGCCACCUCAACCAGCCCUGGGACAGCACAUAUGAGUUCCUAACCUGUCUCCAGCCACCUGAGCCUUGAGAGUUGGGGAGUCAGAAAAGAAAGGCACAGUGUCAUGGAGCUUCUAGUCAGUCCCAUCCCUUCUUUGCUUCAAAGACAACACCUACCCUAUUGGUCAUGCCUAGUAAUGCUUUCUGUAUGCG
This 360-nucleotide long non-coding RNA is filed under the name Cricetulus griseus (Chinese hamster). Its description in RNAcentral is "lncRNA (ENSCGRG00015037119.1)". The record is from RNAcentral. Lineage: Eukaryota; Metazoa; Chordata; Mammalia; Rodentia; Cricetidae.